Non-coding RNA from Camellia sinensis, 193 nucleotides. Lineage: Eukaryota; Viridiplantae; Streptophyta; Magnoliopsida; Ericales; Theaceae. The record is from RefSeq and is a predicted model, not a curated record.
CUAGAGUCAUCAGCUUAUGAGCCAUCCGCAGACCCUUCGACUUCUUCACAGCCCACCUCAGGUCAUGUUAGUUCUUCAUCAACCUCGACUAGGCGUGGUAGAGGAUGUGCCAAGGGCAUUAAAGAGUGGGGUACUGGUAAAAAGCUAGACAUACAAUUUGAUGAAAAUUACUAUCCAAUAGGGGAUAACGUGG